GUGGAGUUGAGGGAAAGAGGAAGAGAAAGGGGACUAUGAGGGAAGGAGACAGGAAGAUGUUCAAAGAGUGAAAGAGAGGCUGGAGAAUAAUGGGGGAAUGAGAAAAAAGUUUUGAUGGGGUGAAAGGGUUGGUGGAGAAAGGGGGAUGGAGAGAGAAGGGAAUGAAGGGGAGUGGGCUGUGGAUUGAGAAGGGGUGAAGGCAUGAGAGAAAGUCUGAAUGGAAUAAGGAGGAUAGAGAAAGGUGAGAUGGAUAAUGGAGAGUGGAACAGAGAAUUGGAAAGCAGAGAUGGUGAGGAAGGGGUAGAGAGCAGGAAUGAAGAGGGACUGGAGGAAGCAAAGAGAAGAUGAAGGUAUAGAAUAGAUGGCAAAUGCAGUGAGGGGCUAGAGGGGGGUGGAGGCAGGAAGAGGGAAGCUUAAUGAAUGUGAAUAUAGACAGAGAGUGGACACAUGGAGGAUAAUAAGGUGGGUGGAGAGGAAAAAGCAGACAGACUGGGUUUGAUAGAAUCACACUAAGGAUGGAUAAAGACGAAUGAGAGAAAAGAGAAGGGGAUGGACAGGGUAGCGUAGUGGUUAGCACAAUUCCCACUGCUGUCUGUAAGGAGUGUCACCUCGUGGGUUUCCUCCUGGUGCUCCAGUUUCCUCCCACAGUCGAAAGACGUAUGAGGGUGAUACGUCGAUGCAACGAGCUGUAAGAGGAAGAGAUUGAGGGAGUUCUAUUUCAGCAAUCAAUGCCUUUGGAAAAGUAGAAACCAUAAAGUUGUCAGACUGAUGGAAAGAAAGAAGAUUAUUUGCAUGUGUCAUAAGCAUUGGGACAUCUGCAAUCCUUCAGUCUCCUGACUCAUGGCCAUAUCUGAGGAAGACUAACACACCCAAAAUGCUGGAGGAACUCAGCAGGUCAAGCAGCAUCAAAAGAAGAAAAUGGACAGUCGACGCUUUGGAAGAAGACCAUUCAUUAGACUGAGGGACGCCUUCUCCAAUCCUGAUAAGGGGUCUUGCCCCGAAACCGUUAAUUUCCCUCUGUAGAUAUUGCUUCAGCUAUUGUGUUUCUCCAGCAGUUUGUAUGUGUUACUCCAGAUUUCUGGCAUUGGCAAUUUUGCUUGUGUAUUCAGUCAUAGCUGAUUUUUUUCCCAUCCCCAUUCACUGAAGACAUUCCUUUAAAACUAGGGAGGGACUUUUUCAUCCAGAGGAUGGUGUAUCUGUGGAAUUCAUUGCCAUAGAGUUGUGAAGGCAAAGUCAUUGGGUGUAUUUAAGACAGAGUUUUAUAGGUUCUUGAUUGGUAAGGGAUUGAGGGUUAUAGGGAGAAAGCAGAAGAAUGGGGUUGGGAAAUAAAAGUCAACCAUGAUUGAAUGCCUAAUUCUGCUCCUAUAUAUUGUGCCAAAUUCCUUCACUAUAUUCCCUGGGUGUGCCUAGUCCUACUGUCAGAAGAGAGUAACUGGAAUUGACAAUACAGGCAGAAUAAAGAAGGCUAAAAUGUUGACAACAGAACCAUGAAGCCAGGUGGGAAGUAUGAGGAAAGUCUAGCAAAGCACUAACACAGGACUACAUGUGCCCUAAACAAUAAGACCAACAUGCAGUAAUCAAUCCUACAACCAACAAAUCAAAGCUUCAUAGUCACAUCUAAUCUAAUUAAACUUCAGGUUAGGCAACGGCUCCAGGAGCACCACUGGUCUUAAGGCCUGUACAAAUGCAACAAUUGUUAGGCUGAAGUGUGGAGUGAAUGACCCAUCACAUUAUCCUUUUAACACCCCCAACAUUCAGAAGACAAUCUUUAGACAAUUUGAAUCACUCUGCAUGAUAGCAAGAAAAAUAUGAAAGCAAUGGAUACAAAUCAGGCUAAGGGCAGAAAAGAUCCCAGCCUUGUAAUGAAAAAGCCAUGCCUCCAUCCAAGCUGAUCCUAUAGUGUAGCUAUAUUGAUAUCCAGCUGCCAAUGCAGAAAAUAGUGCACAACAGACUCCUUGUACCAUAAGAUGAAUUCUUGACCUCAUAAUCUAUGUCGUUAUGAUUUUCUACUUUAUUAUUUACCUGCACCAGUAAGAUGACAGUGCACUCAGAAGCAGUGGCAUCUUUAAGGACAACCAAAGGUGUUAUCGUCCUAUAAAAUAUAUUUUUUACAACCACAAGACACUGCUGGAUAUUAAGAACUUAAAGUACUGCAGGUCUAUCCCAUCAACGAGUUGUUCAUUGGUGGAGAAACUGAAGGAGCUGGACUUGUUGCAGGCCAUAAUGCUGCUUGCGUCAGAGAGGCAUUGGUGAGUGAAGGAGGUGUGCAGUAUAACAGCGAGUCUUAGUCAUUCUUCUUGUAAUCGCAAGACCCUGUUGGACAUUGGUGGUGUGGAAUGCUGCAAGUCUAGAAUACAAGAGCAGGGAUGUGAUGCUGAGGCUUUAUAAGGCCCUGGUGAGGCCUCACCUUGAACACUGUGAACAGUUUUGGACUCCUCAUCUAAGAAAAGUGUUCUGGCAUUAGAGAAGUUUCAGAGGAGGUUCAGAAGGAUGAUUCUAGGAAUGAAAUGGAUAUCAUAUAAGGAACAUUUAACAGCUCUAGAUCUGUACUCACUGGAAUUUAGAAGAAUUCAUUGAAACCUUUCGUAUGUUGAAAGGCCUAGACAGAGUAGAUGUGGAAUGGAUGUUUCCCAUAGUGGGGCAGUCAAGGACCAGAGCACACAGCCUCGGGAUAAAGGGGCAUCCAUUUAAAACAGAGAUGUGAAGAAAUUUCUUUAGCCAAAGGGUGGUGAAUUUGUGGAAUUUAUUACCACAGGCAGCUGUGGAGACCAGGUCAUUGAGUGUAUUUAAUUCAGAGCUUCAUAGCUUCUUGAUUGGACAUGGCAUCAAAGGUUACGGGGAGAAGGCUGGGGAGUGGGGCUGAGGAGGGAAAAAAGGGAUCAGCCAUGAUUGAAUGGUGGAGCAGACUCGAUGGGCCAAGUGACCUUAUUCUGCCCCUAUGUCUCACGGUCUAUGUCCAAUACAUUGGUUUAUUGGAGAACAGCAGGAGAGCUGCAUGGUCUUGGUCUUAGUGAGGACUAGGCCAAAGCCACAGUGUUACCUGCUUGUAUCCACCCAGAGGGAGGCAUCGAAAUCGGGUGCUCCACCAGAGUGCUGGGGGCAGUGUGGUACAGCUUCCAUGCUGGAGUCAGUGCUAUCCCCCAGUGUUUACUCCACAGAAGACAAGCUGUAUUGUAUUCACCUGUAGACAGUUGCAAUGUUCAUGGA
Hypanus sabinus (Atlantic stingray) is the source of this 3207-nucleotide long non-coding RNA. RefSeq lists it as uncharacterized. The record is from RefSeq and is a predicted model, not a curated record. The transcript is spliced from 5 exons. NCBI's taxonomy places the organism in Eukaryota, Metazoa, Chordata, Chondrichthyes, Myliobatiformes, Dasyatidae.